AACAAACGCUGGCGGCGUGCCUAACACAUGCAAGUCGAACGAGAAAUUUCCUGCUUGCAGGAGAAAGUAAAGUGGCGCACGGGUGAGUAACGCGUGGGUAACCUACCUUUGAAUCUGGAAUAACCAGCCGAAAGGCUGACUAAUACCGGAUACGGUUUUUUAGGCUUCGGUCUUUUAAAUUAAAGGUGACCUCUUCAUGAAAGUUGCCGUUCAUAGAUGGGCCCGCGUACCAUUAGCUUGUUGGUGGGGUAAUGGCCUACCAAGGCGACGAUGGUUAGCUGGUCUGAGAGGAUGAUCAGCCACACUGGAACUGGAACACGGUCCAGACUCCUACGGGAGGCAGCAGUGGGGAAUUUUGCGCAAUGGGGGAAACCCUGACGCAGCAACGCCGCGUGAGCGAAGAAGGCCUUCGGGUCGUAAAGCUCUGUCAAGUGGGAAAAAAAUCUUUUGAUCAAUAGUCAAAAGACUUGAUGGUACCACUGGAGGAAGCACCGGCUAACUCCGU
This 505-nucleotide ribosomal RNA is filed under the name uncultured Desulfobulbaceae bacterium. RNAcentral describes it as "bacterial SSU rRNA". It matches the Rfam family "Bacterial small subunit ribosomal RNA", at positions 29 to 506 of the family's 1533-position model. Lineage: Bacteria; Pseudomonadati; Thermodesulfobacteriota; Desulfobulbia; Desulfobulbales; Desulfobulbaceae. The record is from RNAcentral.